CAAGAAUAAAUUCCUACCAUCCUAUCUAAAGUUAUCUUCUCUACUCCCCUUUAUUUUCUGCUUCAACCUCUUAUUUGUUUCCUUCCCUGCAGAUGAAAGGUUGCCAAUUAAUUUGUCCACUUGCUUUACGACUGUCUCCCCAACAGCAUGUAAGCCACACAAGGUAAUAACCCCGAUUCUCCUGUUCACUGUUGCAUCCCCAGUACCAAGCAGUGCAUGGCGCACACUAGAUGCUCACUAAACAUUUGUUGAAUGGCUAUUUGGGUGGAUUCGUAGGUGACACAUGAAUAGAUGAAGAAAGACAAAAAUCAAGUUUCUGAAUCUGCCGACCUGAGGAUCCUACCUGGCAAAGCCUGGUGACCCUACCAGGUAAUAACUACACCGCAUUAAGACCUAUUCUGAAAUAGCUGCUAUACACCUUUGCCUCUAAAUUCAUUCACUUGUAAAAUGUCCCAUCCAUUAAAAUUAUAUAUUCCUUGUUAAUAUACUGCAUCAGCCUACAGACUUAAGAAUAUUUCCUAAACAUGGAAUAUUAUCUCUCAUUUGAAGGAGUGGUCUGCCUAGUCUCCUGAUGUAAAACACAGCAAGCGAGGCUGGUCCUUUAGCCACACAAAGUAAAUGUGCCACACUAGAAAGAAGCUUUCCUCUGCAUCGGAAAAUCGCAUUUGUGUUUAGUAGAACCCCCAUUCGUGAAAGACCGGAUGGGCAGCAGGGAUCCUCCUACCAAUCCAAAAGCUGGAGGUUGAGCAUGUGAUGCAAAUCAGCCAAUCGGGUGCUCGCAGCAGGACUCCCGCAUUUCAAACGACUGACGCUAUAGUUCAAGGACAUUGUUUGGUGUGGCUACAGCAGGGCUGGGAGUACCUUAGACGGUGAAAAGGUUGUGCGAUCUGCCGAAACAAUUCGGAUUGUUCCUGCAGUGUGACCUGGGCUUGGUUUUCCUGCUGCUCAGCUCUCCUGCCUAUUUUCUGGGCCUGAUUCCCCAGCCUCCCCGUUGGUUCUGUGAACACAAUAUCCUUCCAGUACAUUCCAAUAAAUAAGUAAUCAAGACUCUGUUUCUGUAGUCGACACUGUGAUGAGCUCUCCAAAUUCCCUUUCAAGUCUGAAGGAUUUAUUUUCUCAGCUGUUGAGUGGGCUGCUGGCAGGCAGGCCAUGGCUGACAGCCCUCUGCAGGACCGCCUCAGCUGAAGAGAGUCUCAUUACCCAAGAUCACUACCGGGAAGUCUGGAUCAGAGACUGGCCAACAUAGGAUAGGGUGGUCUGGCCCCUUAUCCCACAUGGUUGCCAGUAAAAUUAACAAUGCUCAGAUAAUUUCAG
Molecule: long non-coding RNA, 1314 nt
Organism: Phyllostomus discolor (pale spear-nosed bat)
Lineage: Eukaryota; Metazoa; Chordata; Mammalia; Chiroptera; Phyllostomidae
Exons: 2
Source: RefSeq, a predicted model, not a curated record